CCUACGGGGGGCUGCAGUGGGGAAUAUUGCACAAUGGGCGCAAGCCUGAUGCAGCCAUGCCGCGUGUGUGAAGAAGGCCUUCGGGUUGUAAAGCACUUUCAGCGGGGAGGAAGGCGGUGAGGUUAAUAACCUCAUCGAUUGACGUUACCCGCAGAAGAAGCACCGGCUAACUCCGUGCCAGCAGCCGCGGUAAUACGGAGGGUGCAAGCGUUAAUCGGAAUUACUGGGCGUAAAGCGCACGCAGGCGGUCUGUCAAGUCGGAUGUGCAAUCCCCGGGCUCAACCUGGGAACUGCAUUCGAAACUGGCAGGCUAGAGUCUUGUAGAGGGGGGUAGAAUUCCAGGUGUAGCGGUGAAAUGCGUAGAGAUCUGGAGGAAUACCGGUGGCGAAGGCGGCCCCCUGGACAAAGACUGACGCUCAGGUGCGAAAGCGUGGGGAGCAAACAGGAUUAGAUACCCCGGUAGUC
This 465-nucleotide ribosomal RNA is filed under the name uncultured Klebsiella sp. RNAcentral's name for it is "bacterial SSU rRNA". It matches the Rfam family "Bacterial small subunit ribosomal RNA", at positions 338 to 795 of the family's 1533-position model. The record is from RNAcentral. Lineage: Bacteria; Pseudomonadati; Pseudomonadota; Gammaproteobacteria; Enterobacterales; Enterobacteriaceae.